AUGAACGCUGGCGGCGUGCCUAAUCCAUGCAAGUCGAGCGAACAGAUGAGGAGCUUGCUCCUCUGACGUUCGCGGCGGACGGGUGAGUAACACGUGGAUAACCUACCUAUAAGACUGGGAUAACUUCGGGAAACCGGAGCUAAUACCGGAUAAUAUAUUGAACCGCAUGGUUCAAUAGUGAAAGACGGUUUUGCUGUCACUUAUAGAUGGAUCCGCGCCGCAUUAGCUAGUUGGUAAGGUAACGGCUUACCAAGGCAACGAUGCGUAGCCGACCUGAGAGGGUGAUCGGCCACACUGGAACUGAGACACGGUCCAGACUCCUACGGGAGGCAGCAGUAGGGAAUCUUCCGCAAUGGGCGAAAGCUUGACGGAGCAACGCCGCGUGAGUGAUGAAGGUCUUCGGAUCGUAAAACUCUGUUAUUAGGGAAGAACAAAUGUGUAAGUAACUAUGCACGUCUUGACGGUACCUAAUCAGAAAGCCACGGCUAACUACGUG
RNAcentral lists this ribosomal RNA (496 nucleotides) under uncultured bacterium. RNAcentral describes it as "partial 16S ribosomal RNA". It matches the Rfam family "Bacterial small subunit ribosomal RNA", at positions 29 to 507 of the family's 1533-position model. The record is from RNAcentral.